RNAcentral lists this ribosomal RNA (253 nucleotides) under uncultured bacterium. Its description in RNAcentral is "partial 16S ribosomal RNA". It matches the Rfam family "Bacterial small subunit ribosomal RNA", at positions 524 to 776 of the family's 1533-position model. The record is from RNAcentral.
UACGUAGGCAGCAAGCGUUGUUCGGAAUCACUGGGCGUAAAGGGUGCGUAGGCGGGUUUUUAAGUCAGAGGUGAAAUCCUGGAGCUCAACUCCAGAACUGCCUUUGAUACUGAAGAUCUUGAGUCCGGGAGAGGUGAGUGGAACUGCGAGUGUAGAGGUGAAAUUCGUAGAUAUUCGCAAGAACACCAGUGGCGAAGGCGGCUCACUGGCCCGGUACUGACGCUGAGGCACGAAAGCGUGGGGAGCAAACAGG